GUAGUCUGNAACCCGACUACAUGAAGCUGGAAUCGCUAGUAAUCGCGGAUCAGAAUGCCGCGGUGAAUACGUUCCCGGGUCUUGUACACACCGCCCGUCACACCAUGGGAGUCGGAAAUGCCCGAAGUCUGUGACCCAACCUGAGAAGGAGGGAGCAGCCGAAGGCAGGUCGGAUGACUGGGGUGAAGUCGUAACAAGGUAAC
This 203-nucleotide ribosomal RNA is filed under the name uncultured bacterium. Its description in RNAcentral is "partial 16S ribosomal RNA". It matches the Rfam family "Bacterial small subunit ribosomal RNA", at positions 1300 to 1500 of the family's 1533-position model. The record is from RNAcentral.